Molecule: ribosomal RNA, 252 nt
Filed under: Ramalina sp. Hur 040116
Lineage: Eukaryota; Fungi; Ascomycota; Lecanoromycetes; Lecanorales; Ramalinaceae
Description: partial 18S ribosomal RNA
Source: RNAcentral
GGUUUCCGUAGGUGUCACCCCCCGAGGUUCGCCUAUGGAAGCCCCCGGCAACGACUCUAAACAAGUGCUCCGGAGUCUGCCCACGGGCGGGCGACGCCUUCAUUCUGCCCUGGGAGUGCCCUUCACCGGGCCCACCAGCAGCUUGUGUAAGCUCACAGAUCAGACGAACGCGGCCACUACGGUGGUUUUGAUAUGACCGGCCGUGGCUGUCACCAGCCCACGACGUUUGCGGAACCUGCGGAAGGAUCAUUA